AAUAAGCUCAAAUUCUCCCAACUUCAUCACCAGCACGUCCUAAAUCAUCUCCCUCAAAAACUACACCAUCACUAACUGAAGGAAACUAAAACCCCAACAAUGCACGCCAAAAUCCUUGUCAAUGCCUACGCCUAAAUCAACAUCCCCAAGACCGGCACCAAAUUCUGCUCAAUUUCAAGUUCAACUAGGUUUUUUUUUUUUUCCCUUUUUGAUUUUAUUUGCUUUAUGUUUAUUUAUUUUGAUGUGAUUAAAUGAAGUAUUUGUUUUUCUUAUGAAUGGGAUUUUCAUUUUAUGCUAGUUUAUCUAGUUAUAUUGGAAAUAUUAAAUAAUUUUUGAAGUAAAAUGAUAUAAUUUUGGUCUUUUUGAUUCGGAAAAUGAACGUAUAAAUGAAAAAAUUGGUCUGAAAAAAGAUGAGAAAAAGCUAUUCUUCUGAGGUUUUAGUGGUUGGUGUCCCUAUAUUAAUAGUUUGUUUUUCAAAUGAAUUAAUCUGAUUGUGUAAAUAGUGCGUUUGUAUAACUUUUAUUUUCAAUUUAUAGUGGGUAAUCUUUGAUUGGCACUUGAAUCCUUAUAUUAGUUGCAACUCGUACAUAAGUAUGCUCUUAACAUGGAUUAAUUGUUGUUCUUGUUGGCGAUUAUUGGGAUGUAUAUUUCAAGAUGAAGUAAUAUGGAUUAAAAGGUUUGAAAGAAUUGUUUGCAAUGAAAAUUCUUUAGUAUUUUAUGUAUUUUUUUCUCGUACUUGUAGAUAAUGUAUGUUAAAAUUAGAAAUUUCAUCAUACUCGACGAAUGCAAAAAUAGAUUGUAAUCUUGUUCUCUAUCAUUGCAUUCCUCUUUUAGCGAUAUGAGGAAGAACCUAUGUGUAGGAAGAAGGUACAGGAAGAAAAUAUUUUUUUGGUGUUGGUAUUUGAUGGGUUUUGUGCAUUGUGAUUAUAUGUAAAUAACAUAUUUUCAGCAUUGUGGAUGUCACGACUCUUAGCAUAUUGGUCCAUAAGUACCAUGUACGAACUAAACACUGGUUUGCCUCUUUUCUUCUUAGCAGCCUUUUGCAGUAUAGAGUUGGCCUUUUCUACUUGUUCGACAUCAAUGUAAAGCUUCACAAGUGCAUCCCAAGUUAGUGGUCCGAUGACAUAGCCACUUUCAACCAUUCCCUUUACGAGGUCUUUUCCUUUGGCCAACAUUUUAUGUUGUGCAUUAACAUUUAGUAGAAUCUGGGAUCUUUUCAUCUGAUUGUAUACUGUAUUGCUUUAAUGCUUGUACAUAUUUAUGUAAUUGGUGUAUACUUGCAUGUAUGGGAUGUAUAAAAUGUACAUGCAUGUGAAUUCUUGGUAUUGAG
This 1330-nucleotide long non-coding RNA is filed under the name Olea europaea (common olive). Its description in RNAcentral is "long non-coding RNA (OEUR_LNC007222)". Lineage: Eukaryota; Viridiplantae; Streptophyta; Magnoliopsida; Lamiales; Oleaceae. The record is from RNAcentral.